Molecule: non-coding RNA, 21 nt
Filed under: Caenorhabditis elegans
Lineage: Eukaryota; Metazoa; Nematoda; Chromadorea; Rhabditida; Rhabditidae
Source: RNAcentral
UUUCCAAAAUGUGCCAUGGAU